UUAAAAACUACGACUUUGAAACUGAUGCUGAUGAUGCAGGAGAAAUAGUGGAACAGGUCAAUCACAUUAUCAAGUCCAACAUGAGUGGGAAAAGAUCAGAAUACUUGUCUUCAAAAGAAAGAAAAUCUGACAAAAGAAGAUCUUUAAGAUCAUAGCCAUUGUAACAAGAACUACUGAAGCUUUCUCACACUAUUAAAUGAUUUAUUAAUAAAAACCA
Long non-coding RNA from Stylophora pistillata, 217 nucleotides. Lineage: Eukaryota; Metazoa; Cnidaria; Anthozoa; Scleractinia; Pocilloporidae. The record is from RefSeq and is a predicted model, not a curated record.